UGUUGUUGUUGAUGCUGUAGUAAUUAAAGUAGUAGUUCUGCAGAAGUAGGAGUAGUUGUUACUUUCAAAGCAAUUUCUACAAGUUUAAAUUCCUUAACCCUGUCCAUGUGGUAUACACACUGUUUUUUCUCAAUAUCAAACUCAGCCAGUCCAGGUUGUCAAAUAACAAUCUAUCUGAUAAGCCCAGCUUGUGCAGUGAGUCAGAUGUUGGGUAUGUUUGCUGCAAAUCUAUUGGUUAUAAGAUAUAACAGCCUUUUCUAAUUGGCUGAAUUCAAAUACAGAAAGUUUACCUGUUAGAUUGAAACAUGAAACAUGGUGGAAAAUGUACUGGUUUAACUUGUUAAAAUAAAGUUAAAGAAAUUUAACAAACAGAAGAGUUCAUUAGUUUUUCCAUUAAAAACACUUUUUUAAAAUACUUAUGUAUUUAUAUCAUUUGGAAAGUGACAUGAAAUAUUGUUAAAGAGUGAUGCAUACAGUGUUUGAGCAGUCUGUCUAGGAAUAGAACAACAACUGAAGUUGAUGGAAGAUACUGCAGAGUUUGGCAGGGAAAUAAUCCAACAGCAAAGCCGCUCUUUAAGCGCAUUCACCUAGAGGACUUACAGGGCCACACAUUCAUGAGCACAUGUGAGCAGUAUACAAUGUACCUCAUACCAAAAAGAACCCGGAGGCAGUGACUGGUGUUCAAUAUUCUCAGAAGAAAAGGAAAAUGGCAGUGGAAGACUUGGACAAACAUUUUUUAAAACUAGCCUCUGUGUUAAGCCUGGCAGUCUGUGGCUGGUGACAUGUUUUAUUUGGGUUACUUCUUGUAUAAAAAAGACCAGUUAUUUAUUUUGUGAAUUAUAUUUUGUGUUUGUUUUUUGUCUUAAUUUAUUAUAUUUUUUUUAAUUUAGGAAUUUGAAACUUGGAUAAUUGAAUAAAGUCCGUGUUCAACAGUACUGAGCAUAGUAUAAUAAAUAACAAAUUUACAACAGUUAUUAAUUUGUUAUGUAUUAUUAUUAACUAUGCUCAGUACUUGAAUACUGGCUGUCUGCAUGGGAAUUUGUUUUCUAGAAAGUUGGUUUCAGACUUAAAUAUUUGAAGUUAACCUUCGGAACUUUUCUAGAAUUGUACUGGAACACAUCAACUAAAACUGAACUUCUGUUAUCAUACUAAAAGUGUUCUAGAAUUAAUAAGGAACAGUUGUUGAACGUUAAAAUUUAUGAGAAAAAACUCAAGAACAAUUCUGCGUGAUGUGUGUGUGUGCAUGUAAUUGUGUGUGUUUAUGAACAUAUGUGAGAAAGGAUGUAUACUUGUCACAAGAUAAAUGUAAAAUUCUACUUCUAUGUUUUAUAUUGUGCCUUUUAUAAGUUUUUCUUUUCUUACCUGUAUAUGCGUGCAUGUUUAUGGAUGUGUUUUUGAAUGUGUGUGUGCAUGCCUGUGGUUAAGAGAGUAGGUACUUUAUGAAAAUGUAAAACCACUCAUUUUUGAAUAUGUACUGUGACUGCACGUGUGUGGUUAAUGAUUGAUGCUAUAUCUUGUUCUUGUUUAACUUCUAUGAUGAAACCUUUAGUUACAUUCACAUUUGUUUUUCAAAAUCAACGAAAUGCCUUUAAUCUAUAA
Molecule: long non-coding RNA, 1599 nt
Organism: Dreissena polymorpha
Lineage: Eukaryota; Metazoa; Mollusca; Bivalvia; Myida; Dreissenidae
Exons: 3
Source: RefSeq, a predicted model, not a curated record